This is an RNA transcript of Brienomyrus brachyistius, 8614 nucleotides long. It is a transcript of the gene named low density lipoprotein receptor adapter protein 1, with no coding region annotated. The record is from RefSeq and is a predicted model, not a curated record. Lineage: Eukaryota; Metazoa; Chordata; Actinopteri; Osteoglossiformes; Mormyridae. The transcript has 10 exons.
UGCUGAGUCCCGCACCUCAUUUUUUAUGGGAACUGUAUUAGGGGCAGAUAGCGAGUGUUUCACCCCAGCGUCGGCUGCGCUGCACGGCGCAUCAUUCACACUUGACGGGCGAUUCAGAGGAGCGUCUCCCACCUGGCGGCCAUCCCACCAUGGAUGCCCUUAAAUCGGCCGGAAGAGCGAUCAUCAAGAGCCCCGGGGUGCCGAGGCACACAUGGGGAACCUCCAAGCACGAAAAGCUUGCGGAGAACUGGACAGACACCAAAGAGACCCUCCUGGAAGGCAUGGUGUUCAACGUCAAGUACCUGGGCAUGACACUGGUGGGGCAGCCGAAGGGAGAAGACAUGGCGUCGGCCGCCAUCAGAAGGAUAGUUACCAUGGCUAGAGCCAGCGCAAAGAAGUUCAGGAAAGUGACUCUGACAAUCUCUCCGAAAGGAAUCAUCAUCACAGACUCGGAGACGAACAACCUUAUUGAGAACGUCUCCAUAUACAGGAUCUCCUACUGCACUGCAGAUAAAUCUCAGGACAAAGUGUUCGCCUACGUUUCCCAGAGUCAGUUCAGUGAGACCCUGGAGUGCCACGCCUACCUGUGCCCCAAGAAGAAGAUCGCUCAAGCCGUCACACUCACGGUGGCACAGGCCUUCAAGGUGGCCCUGGACCUUUGGGAGGUCGCACAGGAAGACAAAAUGAAGAAGGGCCGUCCGUGCUGCUCCUGCACAGUAAAGAACUCGCAUUCCGACCCAGGUAAUUUGGAGAAACACAAAGCUCUGAGCAAGGAGGAAGCCCCAAGGCGGCCAUUUUCCUCCUUCCAUUCACCUUCACGACACAGCAAUCCCCUAAAGAGGCGGCCGAUCAAGCACAACUCCUGGGAUGCGGAGGAUGGUUUUGAUGACGCGUUUUCAAGACCUUCAGCAGUGACAAUAGCAAACAGUCAUGUGACAUGGAGACGGGAAGACAAAACAGGGCCUCUAUUAGGAGAAGGAAGCUGAGAAGGGUCUAAAAAAAAUGGCAAGGAGGAGGGACAACAACGGCAGCCAUCUUGGUGUCAGCAAAGCGGGAAGGAGGUGCCUGAAAAGCAUAAUGACAUCAGGUCAUAGUGAAGUUUAUUUUCAUUAUUACAAUUAAUACUAAACUUUACUACUGACUAAUACUCCUAAUUACUACUAAAGUCAGUGGUAUAAGGCUUGAGAACAAGUGACUGUGGAACGGUGGAUCUGUCAUGUAACUUCUCCAAACCAUAUACGUGCCACGUGCAUGGUGAACUACGUCAUGUGAGCUCUGUUGGCUUCCAUUGAUUGAUUCGUUAAUGUCUGUCACGUAUGUCAAGAUUUGGUGUGUUUGUGAGUUUAAAUAGCUGUUACAGGCUUGUCAGACUGAAUGCAUAGCAAGCAUUUCUCGUUAAUUAGCUUUCUGGAGCCUACAGUGUCCCGGCAAUAACGAAUGAACAACCUUUUGGUCUUCAGAGAGCUCCUGAAGAAAAUUGUUCUGGGUGUCCAGAACUGCUCCGUUCGCUUCACUCCCAGUUGACUCAGAAUUGCAUCUGCAGAAAUUCGGCAUAUGGAAAUGUGGCCUUCAGCUGUGUUUGGGGGCUAGAGUCAUGACCAACCUGUCCCCUAAUGUCUUUCAGGGGGGGACUACGGGGCAUGUAACAAUGGGACCAUUUGGGCUACAAAACCCACAGCGCCAGCAACCCACAGCAAUGCCAAUAAUUAUUUUUACUAAAGUUCCUAUUUCUUACUCUGCUGUUUCCCAUUGGGUCGAACAAGGCAGUGAUUGACAGCACAGUUUAUCCCAACUACUGCAGAGGUCAAAGCAUCGUAUGUCAGAGAUAUCCUUCCAGUGCUCAUUGGAUCAUGAAAAGCAUUUAAAAAAUCUUGUGCAUUUUUUGCUGACUUUUUGAGAAAUUAUAUGGCAAAGGGGUCACUCAGACUUCACUUUCAAACCUACGUUGGUUAAUAUCAAUGUUUAUUGAUAACAUAAGCGGAUGGUCGCUCAUCCAUUUUCAUAGCUUUUUAAUCGGCAUACAGUCCCGUGAACCAAAACGUUUUCCCAGGACGCAUAGGGCACCAAGCAGGGGGCACCCAAGACGGCUUUAUUAUGGUCAACAGGAAGUGUAGACCUCCGAAACAAGUCAGCAAAAACAUAACUAUCAGUAUCAUUUUAGUCUCUUAGAACCAAGACCAACGAUUCAGUUUUCCAUUUAAAAAUCUGCAUUUCCAAUUGCAUUUUCUUGCACUUACACCAACUGAUCGGUUGUUACUUUGCCAUUUAGAGACAGAUUUAUCCACCCUGUUUAAUUUAUAUUCAAAAACAUUGGACAUUCUGGACUUGAUCUGAGAAAUAAUAGGGACAGUUUUAAUGCAGUUUUUGACCAUUUGGGAUAAAACUUAUUACAUCAUAUCAUUCACAGAUUAAGGUCAUAUUUCAGUGAAAGAUGAUUUUGAAAUCAAGGUGUUCACUGGUAAACAUAGUAAGGGUUCCCGUGUUGUGGUUUCAGGCUUUUUUGUGGGGUGUGUCAGCUAGUGCAUGGCAUGUUAACAUGGGAAUGUUUAUAUUACAUACAGUAAUUUAUUUUUCUUCAUGGGGAGCUUCCGGGAAUGCUGAUCUGUGCCCUUUGGGGGUGGAUCCCAUCCUGUUUUUCAUUAUACCGUUUAAUUAGCUAAUGUGUAAUUCUGUCCUCAGCUCCACCAUUAUUUAAUGGUUAAUUGGCAACAGAGAUGUAUUUGAGUGCAGGGCUGGGCUUUCAGUGUUUAUGUUCCCAAUAUUUUUCUGAAUUGGCAGUUUUUUUAUCAUUUAUUCCCAGAUUUCUUAUGUGCCCAGAACUGCUCCUCUAAGAGUCUAACAAACAUUAAACUGCAUUGAUUAGAAAUUAAAUGUUCACAUAAUACUGUGUAAGGUCCAGUAUGCAGAACCGUCCAUCUUAUUAGUUGACAUGAAUUACAGUGAGCAACGUUGUACUUUUCUAUGUGAAAUUAAUCUGAAAGAAUACAGCUGGGUGCAUUGAUUAUUGCGCACAGUGGACUUUGCCGAGUUAACUGCCCUUUACUGCAGAAAGCUGCGCCGACGCACUUGUGACAAUGCUGUCAGUGUGGCGUCAGUGAAAACGCGGAAAAAAUAAAUGAAUGGAAAAAAAAAACAUUCGGUAAAUAUAGCUGUAUAAGUUUGUUUUGCCAGCACUUUUGCAAAAAUCAAUUUGAUUCACAAAGAGAUCCGACUGCUGCUGGAAGUCGGACAAAGUGCCUGUGGUUUUUACCCCUUCUGUGUGCAGUAAUAACCCAAGCAGGUUUGUUUAAUUUAUUUAUUUAUCUGUCAAUCCGGCAUGCUGACUCUGUGUCUGGAGUGAAGGAUGCGGUGACUUUAUAUUGCACCGGUGGUGCAAAAUAAAAUGACUCUCCAUUGCAACUAAUCUCUGAAAACACCAUUUAAGCAGUAGACUUAUUACUGAGAUCGGCUUUAAGCUGUUCCUUUAAACUGUAGGGUUUUAUUCAACUGUAAAUAGAUGCUAUUGGAAUGACAACAAUGUAUACAAAUGGCCCCAUCAACCAUUCCCCCCUUCUCCUCCCUUACCCCCGACCACAAUAAUUUCUAGCCCACACUCUCCCAGCCUCUCAAAAAAUAUUCAUUAAAAGCCUAAAUUGGUGUCUCAGUGUUAUCAGGUUCACCAGAUCUGCGUCUGACUGUAUGUAUUUUUUGAUUUACCACAUUAGUAAGUUCAAGUGUCUUCUGCAGUCAGCCCUCCCUUUGCUUUUUGGCAUCAUCUGAUUCAAAUGAAAUUAGACUUUCCAGACUUUCUUCUGUACAAUGUUUCUUUGAAUUUUGAAAAAGAUCCGGCUAAUACUUUUUGAGUUAUGAAGCUACCAGCAUCAAGACUCUGUACUGUAGCUGCCCUUCUCUCUCAUACCACUGUUUGGCACUGGUUUAAUUUUGGGGCAAUGAUUCUCAUAAUUUGAUCAGGUCCAAAUCUUCACCCAUACAAUGUGCCUGUAAAGUUUUUUUUUUUAAUCCAUCAAAUACUUUUGAGUUCUCAUGCUAAAAAGAUGUUUGUGGUGGACCGGUCCCAAAAUCUUAUCCAUUCCUCAUUUAAGGAAUAUAAAAAGUGUUAUUGCUUCAAAUGUUAGACUUUUUGUUUGCAAUGUAUUAAUAUUAGGCACGGAAUAUCUUGUUUACUCUAUUAUCAGAUCAGCAAGCCAUUAUCCUGGGUGAUUUCUGUUUUUCUAAUUAAUUUUAUAUAUAAACUUCAGGUAAAUUCAUACACAUUAAUGUUCUAACAGUUGUGCAAAGACAAACCGUUAGUUGCUUUAUGCCCUUGAAAAUCUGUACAGUAUUUCCUAUGAAAUCCAAAGAUUCAGAUAAAUAGACUUUCUAUUACAAAUUGGGUGAUGGACCUUUUAAUCUACUUGGAUCCUUAUAUGAACUUGUAGGUCCUGAGACAGAAUGAGGUCAAGUUUUCAGACCCUCUGGGUAGUUUAUCCAGUAUAAAAUCCUUUUUCACUGCUUCAGAAAGUGGAUGCUUAAUGUAGUUUAGUUACAGACAGACAGAUAGGCGAUUGUGUUUCGCGUAAAGAACAUGAAUUAACAAUGCUUUGUUCUUUAUUACAAUGGACGCCACAAACCAGGAGGCAUCAAACAUGUUUAUUGAGCAGAAAAACACAGUUCAUUUUGAUGGAAAUAGCAUUUCCUUGACAAAUGCUAAAUCCUUUGAAGUGGCCUGAUCAGAUUGUCCUUUUUGCGUUUUCUUUGCCGAAAUAUUGUAUCUUGCCUGAGACGUCAUUGCAUAAUGAAUCGCAUUUUACAUUAAUCUCUCUUUUGGAUCAAUGAAAAUUUUUUAUGGAUUCUAAGCUAAUAUUAAUUCUCAAAAACGGUCCAGCAUGAGAAGCUGGUUGUUCUGCCCCUAUGAUGAAAUCAUCUUCUUUUCUUCUUCUUCGUCUUCAUGACAUGCAGCAAUAUGGAUGUGGAAAACACAGACACAAUCUAGCAAUCAGAUUUUUCACAUCGGCCAUGUUUGCGUUGGUCAGGUUGGCAGAGUCCGGAUGCAGGUAACUGUCUGAAGAUGCAGCUGUGAAGUCAGGCAGGGGUGACCUUCAGGAUCUAAUGAUUAAUCACUGAGGACAUGUGGGAUAAUAAAACACACAGACCUUCUACACACAGCCUUUUCAGACUGAUAGCUAUACACUAUAUUGUUCUUUUCCCAAUAUUGAAUAAUCAAGGUUUUGCUUUUUUUCUGCUGGCAACCUUUCAUAGAAUAAAUAAUCUUUUUUUUUCCUGUACUUUUUUCGUACACAGAUUAAAGAUGGACACUUGUUGAUAUAUAUUUAACUAGAAUUAAUUGUGAACAAGAGCGGUGUUUAGAUGAUGUUUCUUUUUGCCUAUUUUGUUCCUUCAGUUUUGUUUAAUAUGUGACCAAAGCUAUGUGGUUAUUUGCCGUCUUGUAAGUCAAAGUCAUGGGCUGGGAAAACUUUUACACAAGCCCCCCCCCCGCCAGGCUUUAAGUGGUUUGGGGGGCCUUUUAGCCACGUUAGCCUAGGGUCCCCAGAGAAGAUAAUCUUGCUGAUAUUUAAAUUAUACUCAUUUGCAUCCCUAUGAGAACUGAUCAUUUUGUAAUCUAGGUCUCAGAUCCCAGGUAUAGUCUUUUUUUUAGAUUUUUUUUGCAAUAUAGUUGUUAUGGGGCUCCCUUGGCAAGGAAACAUGCUCCAUUCCUAUGAAAUCGAUUCCCGUAGCACAGAUGAAAUGUGAGCAGUCAUUUCUGUGCAGUGAACUCAGGUAUGACUACGACAAAAUUUUGAUUUAUUUGAUCAAUUUUAAGAUAAUGACUAAGUCACCGAAUGUGGGCAUUUUUAAGGGACUAUGGUUUAUUUUAUAUGGUCUGCACAAGUUAAUUUAUUCAUUUACGGCUUUUUCUUAAACAUUUAAGAUAAAUGCAUCUAUUUCAAUGCUUUGAGACUUUUUCAUGAUAAUGUCACUAAGGUGACAAUGGUCAAUGCAAAUUAUUUGGACACUUUUAGCCUGCAUGGCAGCUAAAUCUGAGUGGUUUAGUUUUCUGUAAGGGUUAAGUUAACUCCGAGUUAAGAGCUAAGUGGGAAGAUUAAUUUUUGUUUCCACAUACUCGAUGGCAGUUAUAGCAUUAGUUGAAUUCCGGUUUAAUAUUUCUUAAUUUGAGAAUAAAAAACUUAGGAAAAAUCUAAAUGUUCAUGUAUUUUCAGGCAAAUGAGCCACAUAUUGUAAAUCAUUAAAACUAUAUUUGCAAUUAAAAGGCAAGAAGGACGACCAAGGGUGAUUAAGAUUGCUUGCUUCUGAAAUAAAUCUAAAGUAAUGUCAUUUAAGAACAACUGUUCUUGACAGCUAGACAUAAAUUACAGUUAAUCUUAUAACUGACAUGAAUGCAGCCCGUUUAAUAAUAAGAUGCCACAUUUUCAGAAGAUUAAAUGUUAAGCUUUUGAUGGUAGGACAAAAUCUAUUUUUAAUCAAUGUUAUAAUGCAUAUGUACUUUAUCAGCAACAUAUAACUGCAAGUCACUGUCAGUUUCUCUCCCAAAGGACUGGGCUUUAUAGCCCAGAUUUUGACAACUGCAAAUCCUAAAGUUGGAAUAUUUCUCUCUAGGUUUUGCGCAGUGAUGCACAUAUAUAAUUCUUUACUUGUCACCAUCGGUCAAGUCAAAGAUACAGGCCCUUCCGGUAAAGUUUCCCAAAUUAAUUCAACAUUUGAAUGAAAAGGGCACUUUUCUAAGCCCACUGUCACUCAUUAAGUCUUUGAAUUCAAAAAUAUUCUCUUGUGUGUUUCAGCUGUUUGUGGCAUUAUUUUAUGAAAACUGAGUGCAGGAAAUCAGGAACAAACAGUGAUCAAUCAAUGCAGUUAUUAGUAGUUAGUUAAGACUACCUAGGCUGUACACAAAUCGGUUAAUAUUUUGAAUUCUGCCGUUUGUGAAUUUCACUGUAACACUGAGAAAAUGGGAAAUUUCCCAGAGAUUGCCAAAGUCCUUCAAGCCACAAGGGGGCAUGCUUAUGAAGAUGCAACUUUAUUAUUCAUCUAUAUAACAAUUAGGGCCUGGUGUGUACGAAACCAUGCAGGCCAAAGUUAUUUUGCUAUCUUUUUCAAUGAUCAGUAUUUUUUUUUUUUAUGUAAUUUGCUUGAAAGGAAAAUGAAGACCAGCCUCAAUCUGUUCCAUUUAUCAGCAUUUAACUUAAUUUAAAGUAAGCAACAGGUUUUAUGUCUCCUGACUCUUGAAAAUCAGCACCAGGGAUAUUAAAGUUUGUGUUUUAGCUGACGGGGGCACCUGGUGGUUUGAAUCAAUCCUGUCUGCCUUUGUGGUGUCAUUGCUUUAGGAUGAAUUGAUGGUCUUGUUUGGAAGUAGGUUGUGGGGGAGGGGGAGGGGGGGGGAGUUAUUGCAAUACCCAGCACUGGAAAAUGUCAGUGCUCUGGAUUUCCAGGCACACGCCCUGCGAGAAAUGCUGUCCUGUACGCUUCUUUUUAAAUGCCCAACCUGUCUGAGAGCCCUCAAUGGUGAAUGUCAACCCUUUAUGUAUAAUUAGGGGUGUCCAUUGUUACCUGGUAACAGAAAAUGCAGGGAAUUUACAACACACAGAGUUAGACCUGUAUUGUUUACUCUUACUAUGCCACGAGUGCCUAGGAAGAGGUCCUGACCCCAGGUGCAGCAAACAACACCUUCUCAGCAAUAAUCACGGUGUUUCCAUAACGUUCCAUCCAUCUUACUACAUGGCUUCCAUAGAAAUACUGUAUCUUGAAUAAACGGCCUUCCGCUGGGUAGGCCCAUCCGUGUUCCUGGAACCGUUUCAAGCUGACCGCGUUUCGGAUUGCAGAAUGACCACAGCGAAUAACCAUCUGUCCAUAUCACCUUGAAGAAGCUAAAUUUAAACUAAGCUAUUCUGAUUUAAUGGAGAAGUCAUGGAUGAUGUCAUUUAGCCUCAGUAUUUCUUCGAAAGGUUUUAUUGUACAUAUUGUGUUUUCCAAGCGUAUGAUUUUAUUUAAUUUUUUUUUGUGAAAAUGUUUGCUGUGCAAUAGUUUCUUCUUAUUAAUCACUUUCUCUGUUGUGUUUAUAUAUGUAGUUUGUAAAUUUGAGAUUUGCUUGUUAUUCACACAGCUAGAAAUUGUACAAGGUGCAUUGUCUUGCUAUAUUCGGGCUUUUGAGAAUCAAAUAUGUAUUUUUAAAGAUAAAAUGAGUUUUCAUUAAAGAGGUUGAGCAGUUUGAAAUGAUUUGCAUGGUUUUCCUGAGUUCUUUGAAGUAUUCUGCAGAAUAACAUGGUUUAGUGCUGGGAAUGUGUUUAAUUAUUUUAUCUUAUGGUAUAAUUCAAAUGUAUAAUUUUGACUGUGGAAGAAUCUACCAUAAUGGACCUGAGAAGCUCUAUCUUGUAAAAACACUGCCAAGGUUUAAAGUAUAUAUUUUCAACUCCUGUCUUGUUAUGUCGGGGUUAUAAUUGGGGUUUAUUUUUAGGGUUCAAUUAAAUGGGGUUUAUUUUUGAACAAUGAAUGGUUAAAAUGCAUAAGUGAUGUAUGUACAAGAAAAAUACAGGUUAUUAUUUGGUGGUGGUGGGGGUGGAGCCUAACCCAGCAUAAGACACAAGUUUGCACUGACGUGAAUAAGGGUGCAAAUAAAAAUAAAAGG